This 185-nucleotide non-coding RNA is filed under the name Pseudidiomarina taiwanensis. RNAcentral describes it as "6S / SsrS RNA". It matches the Rfam family "6S / SsrS RNA". Rfam says of the family: E. coli 6S RNA was the first non coding RNA to be sequenced, but its function was unknown until recently. It consists of 184 nucleotides that fold into an extended hairpin structure with a large single-stranded internal bulge. The 6S RNA specifically associates with RNA polymerase holoenzyme containing the sigma70 specificity factor. Lineage: Bacteria; Pseudomonadati; Pseudomonadota; Gammaproteobacteria; Alteromonadales; Idiomarinaceae. The record is from Rfam by way of RNAcentral.
GAUCGCCUGGAAUGUUUGCUAGCACGCUAAUGUCCCUGAGCCGAUGCUUUUUUAAUAAGGGGUUCACUGAGCGACUAUUGUGCAAGCUCGACAUGUAUCGAGAAGCCUACGGUCGUGUAUUUGCGCCCCGCCUUGAACCAAAGGGUUCAAGGGCAACAGCACUGCGGCGGCAUUUUGGGUGGUCA